RNAcentral lists this long non-coding RNA (213 nucleotides) under Lathyrus oleraceus (garden pea). Its description in RNAcentral is "Pisum sativum (pea) long non-coding RNA (PSAT_LNC011858)". The record is from RNAcentral. Lineage: Eukaryota; Viridiplantae; Streptophyta; Magnoliopsida; Fabales; Fabaceae.
ACAAACCGGACUGUCCGAUGAACAAAAAGACAAAAGAAAAAGACUCAUACAAAUCACACAAGAAACCAUCAAAGCCAAGGAGAGCAUACAUCGCUUGGGAAAGCGAUAGCGACUCCUCUGAUGAUGAAAGCUCUAGUGAUGAAGAUGAAAAUGCAAAUCUAUGUCUUUCUGCUCAUCAAAAGAACAAAAAGAAACAGGUACGACAUGCUAAAU